This 253-nucleotide ribosomal RNA is filed under the name uncultured bacterium. Its description in RNAcentral is "partial 16S ribosomal RNA". It matches the Rfam family "Bacterial small subunit ribosomal RNA", at positions 524 to 776 of the family's 1533-position model. The record is from RNAcentral.
UACAGAGGGUGCAAGCGUUAAUCGGAAUUACUGGGCGUAAAGGGCGCGUAGGUGGUUUUUUAAGUGAGAUGUGAAAUCCCCGGGCUUAACCUGGGAAUGGCAUCUUAUACUGGAGAGCUGGAGUGCAGUAGAGGGUAGUGGAAUUUCCGGUGUAGCGGUGAAAUGCGUAGAUAUCGGAAGGAACACCAGUGGCGAAGGCGGCUACCUGGACUGACACUGACACUGAGGCGCGAAAGCGUGGGGAGCAAACAGG